RNAcentral lists this ribosomal RNA (1809 nucleotides) under Triticum aestivum (bread wheat). RNAcentral describes it as "partial small subunit ribosomal RNA". Lineage: Eukaryota; Viridiplantae; Streptophyta; Magnoliopsida; Poales; Poaceae. The record is from RNAcentral.
AUGGCGCGCAGGCCGGGGGCGGAGGAGGAGAGGCCGUGGGGGCUGGCUGAACACGGGAGGCUGGGGAAACGGAAGGUGGUGGGCGUGGUGGUGCUGGACGGAUGGGGCGAGGCGCCGCCCGACCCCUUCAACUGCAUCCACGUCGCCGACACCCCCACCCUCGACGCCCUCAAGAAGGUACCUGCGUCUCUCUUCUCUUCUCUCACGCUGCUUCAUCGGUUCCGGUUCGGUUCCUACAUGCGGAUGGAGAUCCUUUGCUUGUGUGGUUGCAUGGCAUGGCAGGGUGCUCCGGAGAGGUGGAGGCUGAUCAAAGCUCACGGCACGGCCGUGGGGCUGCCUACGGAUGAUGACAUGGGGAACAGCGAGGUCGGCCACAAUGCGCUUGGAGCCGGCCAGAUAUAUGCCCAGGGUGCAAAACUGGUGGAUUUGGCGCUUGACUCUGGGAAGAUAUAUGAGGGGGAGGGUUUUAAGUACAUCCAGCAGUCUUUUGACACCGGUACUUUGCACCUCAUUGGUUUGCUGAGCGAUGGGGGCGUGCAUUCAAGGAUCGAUCAGCUGCAGCUGCUUCUGAAGGGGGCUAGUGAACAUGGAGCGAAGAGGAUACGGGUUCAUAUCCUUACCGACGGUCGCGACGUAUUGGAUGGAAGCAGUGUCACAUUCGUGGAAACGCUUGAGAAUGAUCUGGCUAAGCUACAGGAGAAGGGUGUUGAUGCAAGGAUUGCAUCUGGUGGAGGCAGGAUGUAUGUUACAAUGGACCGCUAUGAGAAUGAUUGGCAAGUUGUGAAGCGUGGCUGGGAUGCCCAGGUUCUUGGUGAAGCCCCACACAAGUUUCCAAGUGCCCUUGAAGCCGUGAAGAAGCUGAGGGAUGAUGAUCCCAAGGCCAACGACCAGUAUUUACCCCCGUUCGUCGUCGUCGAUGAAAGCGGAAAACCUGUUGGGCCCAUAGUGGAUGGAGACGCUGUUGUGACAUUUAACUUCAGAGCUGAUCGAAUGGUGAUGCUCGCAAAGGCGCUAGAGUACGAGGACUUGGACAAAUUCGACCGUGUCAGAUUCCCGAGGAUUCGCUACGCCGGUAUGCUUCAGUAUGACGGCGAACUAAAGCUCCCAAGUCAUUACCUUGUUGCUCCCCCGGAGAUAGAGAGGACGUCCGGCGAGUACCUGGCGCACAAUGGCGUACGCACCUACGCUUGCAGCGAGACAGUGAAAUUUGGUCAUGUCACCUUUUUCUGGAACGGGAAUCGGUCGGGCUACUUCAACCCAAACCUGGAAAGGUACGAAGAAAUUCCCAGUGACACUGGUAUACCCUUUAAUGUACAGCCAAGAAUGAAGGCCGUGGAAGUUGCAGAGAAGGCACGGGAUGCCAUCCUCAGUGGCAAAUUUGAUCAGGUACGGGUAAACAUCCCGAAUGCAGACAUGGUUGGGCACACAGGUGACCUUGAAGCCACCAUCGCUGGGUGCAAGGCCGCUGAUGAAGCCGUCAAGAUUAUUCUUGACGCCAUUGAACAAGUAGGUGGCAUCUUCGUGGUCACCGCUGACCAUGGCAAUGCCGAGGACAUGGUGAAAAGAGACAAAUCCGGGAAACCGAUUCGCGACAAAGACGGGAAUGUGCAGCCCCUUACCUCACACACACUGAAUCCAGUCCCCAUCGCCAUCGGAGGUCCAGGGCUUGCGCCAGGGGCUACAUUCCGGGAGGACCUUCCGGAUGCCGGGCUCGCUAACGUCGCGGCGACACUCAUCAACCUCCAUGGUUUCGAGGCCCCUCGUCACUAUGAGCCAACUCUCAUCCAAGUCUCGCCGGUUCCCUUCUGA